CGAGCACGCGCGUGUGGCAUAUCAAUAAGCGGAGGAAAAGAAACUAACAAGGAUUCCCUUAGUAACGGCGAGUGAAGCGGGAAGAGCUCAAAUUUGAAAUCUUCAAGGUUCUACCUUGACGAAUUGUAGUUUAUAGAAGUGUUUUCUGUUAGUGGAGUGGCAAAGGUUCUUUGGAAUAGGACAUCAUAGAGGGUGAGAAUCCCGUAUUUGGUCAUUCCUUCUAGCUUUGUGAUACAUUUUCAAAGAGUCGGAUUGUUUGGGAAUGCAGUCCAAAAUGGGUGGUAAAUUUCAUCUAAAGCUGAAUAUUGGCGAGAGACCGAUAGCGAACAAGUACCGUGAGGGAAAGAUGAGAAGAACCUUGAAAAGAGAGUUAAACAGUACGUGAAAUUGUCAAAAGGGAAGCGUUUGACACCAGUGUUGUUUAGUUGAAAAUCAAUUAAAUAUUUUUCGAUUUUAAGUAGUAUUGACCUUAUCAGCUUGCUGCUUUUUUCUCAGGAAAUUAUUUAAUGCACUUUUCAGUUAACAAGUCAACAUCAAUUUCUUUUGUUGUAAAAAGGUAAGAGGAAGGUGGCUUGCGCUUCGGCUCAAGUGUUUAUAGCCUUUUACCCCUGCAAUCGGAGAGAUUGAGGUCUGCAGCGUAGAUCCUUCGGGGUUAGAUACAUUUGUGCUAAGCUAUAGCCUUGUAUAGACAACUUGUUGACUAUGCUCAGUCAUGUAGCUUACUCGCUUAUGCUAUUUUACCUACGCUUAGGAUGUUGAACUCUAUCACACACAG
Molecule: ribosomal RNA, 775 nt
Filed under: uncultured Neocallimastigales
Lineage: Eukaryota; Fungi; Neocallimastigomycota; Neocallimastigomycetes; Neocallimastigales
Description: partial large subunit ribosomal RNA
Rfam family: Eukaryotic large subunit ribosomal RNA
Source: RNAcentral